UUUAAGUUGCCUGCGAAACUACACUCCUUUUGCUCAUACAAUUUCACUAAAAUUAUUCUUUGGAAAUAUCUCUCUCUAUACCCAUCGAUUCUCUCUGUCCAAACCCUAUCCCCCAUUGAAUCUGCCUCCAAGCUCUACCACCGUCGUAAGCACUUCGUCUCUGUCGCCGUUGUCAGAAAAAUGAGAUGAUUGUCAUGAGGCAGAUUGUUGCUUUGAAUGUGCUAGAGGAGUAGCAUAUUUGGUGCAAUAAGCUUAUACUUGCUGGUAUUUUGUUUCUUUCAACUAUGUGAUGGUUCAAUUAUACUUGCUGGUAUUUUCUUUCUUUCUUUAACUUGAUAUUGUUUUGUGUGAUCAGUUGUGUCGUGUGGUGGAUGUUUUAUAUGAAAUAUAUCCAUAUAACCAUUAUUAGGACUAAUAAUUACUUGUAUGACGUGUGAAGUGGUUUUUUAUUUUUUGUCCUCAUUGUUUUGUGAUGUAUAUUGAUUCCCUUAUCCGUAUUAAUUCAUCCAUGUCUGUGGACUUUUCAAGGAAAGACAAAAAGAAGCCAUUAUGGAUAAAGAAUGGGUGAACUUUUCAAGGGUAAUUUUAAAGUCCCAAACUUUAGAUAUUAAGAUAGUGUAUAUUACAUGUAUAAUUCCUUAGUAAAAUGAUGAGUUUUUUUAUAUAUAGAGAUUCUAGAGUGUAACGUAAUGGGGCCAAAGGGUUUGUUGAUACGGUUCAAGCUAAUAACGGAGAUCCAAAAAAGAUUCAAUGCCCGUGCAGUUGUUGUUUAAACCUACAACAUCACCAUCAUGGUAUAGUUUAUGGGCACUUGGUCAUGAAUGGAAUGGAUCCUACGUAUACUAGGUGGAUCUUUCAGGGGGAAGAACCAAGUUCAUCAGUACAAGAUGAAUAUAGGGAAAUGCCAGAGACAUAUUUCAUUUAUAGAGAUGCAUUCCUUCAAGAUGAUGAUGUUGUUGAACCUACACAAGAUAGAGAAGAGCUGAAUUUUAAAAAUUUAGUGGAUGACGCAGAACUUCCCUUAUACACGGGUUGUUCUUACACAAAGAUGUCUGCAAUUGUUGUCUUAUACAAGUAUAAGGCUAGGCAUAGUCUAACUGAUAUAGCUUUUGACGGGCUUCUUCAUCUUCUUCAUGGUUUUCUACCACGUGAUAACAGACUUCCAAAUUCUUUGUAUAUAACCAAAAAAUUACUCAAUGAUUUUGAUCUAGGAUAUGAGAAGAUACAUGCUUGUGUGCAAGAUUGCUGUUUAUUUAGAAAAGAUUUAAAGGAGAGGGAGACAUGUCCAAAGUGUGGUUCUUCACAGUGGAAAAUUAAUGAGCGUACCAAAAAAAUUCAACAAGGAGUCCCUCCAAAGAUCUUGCUUUACUUUCCAAUCAUACCAAGAUUUAGGAGAAUGUUUAAGUCACCGGAAAAGGCAGAAUCAUUACACUGAUAGAAGUCAUGACGGUAAGAUGCGACAUCCAGUUGACGCAUUGGCAUCGAAUGGGAUUGAUAAUAAGUGGCCUUCUUUUGCUUCAGAUCCACGUAAUCUUAGACUAGGCCUUUCAUCUGAUGGAUUUAAUCCUUUCGAUGAUCUUAGUUCUAAAUAUAGUUGUUGGCCCGUGAUUUUGGUUGCAUAUAAUCUCCUCCCAUCUCUAUGCAUGUCCAAGGAGAAUUUAAUGUUGACAUUACUCAUCCCAGGGCCAAGGCAACCCAGAAACGAUAUAGAUAUAUAUUUGGAACCACUUGUAGAAGAUUUGAAAGAGUUAUGGAUCAAUGGUGUAAGUGUUUAUGAUGCUUUCAACAAGUCCACAUUCAAUCUGAAAGCAUAUUGAUGUGGACAAUAAACGACUUUCCAGCUUAUGGGAAUUUGUCCAGAUAUUCCACGAAGGGUUAGAAAGCAUGUCCAGUGUACGGGGUUGACACAUGUUCAAAGUGGCUGACUCAUAGUAGAAAGUGUGUGUACAUGAAUUAUAGAAGGUUUCUUGCACACAACCAUCCAUUUUGAGGAAAAGCAGGGUGGUUUGAUGGACUAUAGAAUGUGGACAAAAGCCUAGAACAUUAACCGGUUCAGAAGUUCUUCAAGUUGUGAAGAAUUUCAAUAAUGAUUGGGGAAAAGCAAAGAAAAAGAUCAACACAAAAAGGAAGAGAAAGACAGAUAAAUAUUCUAUAUGGCCUUGGAAAAAGAAAUCAGUUUUCUUUGAGUUGCCUUAUUGGGAGAGUGAGAGUGAAGAUUGAGCAGACAUAAGUAAUGGUUGUUGAAUCCUCAAAACAGGGAAAAAAGAAAGCAAAGAAGCAGCGAUUGGAUGUUGCUGCUGCUGCAACAAUUGUCGCAGCAAGGAAUAGAUCCUUGCGUAUAUCAGAUAGAGGUUCUAAUUCUCCAUCUCGAGAUGAACCCAAUGAAGUACCAAUAGUCAAGGAAUGCAAGAAGACAACUCUAACAAAGAAGCACCAAAGAAGAAGACUUAGGGGUAAGGCAAAGUUGUUAAGUCUUACCAAAGGAAAAACGAAGGGGUCUCGUGUUGUUGUAGAGUUCAAUCUGGCAGACCAACCAUUUAGAGAUAAUGCAGCAAGAUUUUCUUCAUUCCUAGGGAUCACAGCAAGAGAACUAGUGCCAAUAACAUUGAAGAGUUGGAAAGAUAUGUCAGACAAUUUUAUAAAUCAAAUAUGGGAACAUAUCACGGUCUUGUAUAGCAGAGCCUUCACACAUCCAUAUUAUAUUUUAUUUCUCAUUUCCAUCUAAAGUAAUAUGUAUGUUUUUUAUUUUUUUAUUUUUGUAGCAAAAGUUCAGUCUUGAUGAUUGCCACAAGAAAUAUACUUUUUGAAAGUUACACAAACUUUGGAGGGAUCAUCGAUCUAAUUUAGUGAAUAUGGUGAUGAAGUAAGCUCAAGUGGUUGGCCUACCACGCCCUACUUCUCUUCUCAAACCGGACAAUGUAAAAACUAUGGACGAAUGGAUCUCAUUUCUUAAAGAACGAACUAGUCAAGAAACUAGAGGAAAGUGUCAAAAGUUCAAGGAAAUGAGGGUUAACACAAACUUUAGUGCAUAGAACGAGUCGUAAAAGCUUUGCCUGCAUAGAGGAUGAACUGCCACAGAAAAGUGAGACACCUGAUGCAAUUUCAAGGACUGAUGUUUGGAUCUAUGGAUACGAAAAGAGAAAGAAGAAUGAGGAUGAUGACGUUGAGGAUCCAGAUUUAGUGGUGAAAACUGUUUGCUGCAUAUUUUUAGUGUUUAUCCUGUGAUUGAUAUUUAAGUUUUUAUUUUUCUGGUGGUCAAUUUUCAGAAAGAAGUGAAAAAGUACAAAAAAGAACAAGGACAACAAAAAUGUUCUAUUACAGAUGAUGCUGUAGUAAAAGUACUCGGUCCUGAUCCACGAGGAAGAGUAAGAGGAAUGGGGUUUGGGGCAACGGUUUCAAAGAUUGAAGGUCAAGUUCGUGUUCGUGAUCAAUUUAAUAGAUUGGAAAAUGAGAUUAUAGAAUUGAAAAACCAAAUGACAGAUCUUCUUACUCGAAUAGUAAAGGGGAGAUUAAUAUUGAGAAGGAAAACUAAGUGUCCAAUAUUCUGCUAAUGAGAGUGUACAAAGCAAACAAAAGGUAAAUAAUAAUGUUCAAAAUUCUGCUAAUGAGAUGGCACAAAGCAAACAAAAGGAAAAUCCAGCUGAGAAUGCAAAGUGUAAACUGUUAAAUUGGAUUGGGACAAGUGAAGUUGUUGGAAUUAGGGAAAUUGCAUCAACUGAUCCCAAUUCAUUAGUCCAUCAUGUGCCUCUUGGUCACGAGUGCUGGAAAGUUUGGGUGAAUGAUGUAAUGGAUGAUAAUAUGGCCUUGUUUCGACCAGCAUGUGAGUUCUUUCUUCUUCGUGAAGCAUUAGGAACUACGAUUGCAUGGCCUAUCAAGUACAUCAAAUUGUGUUAGCGUUGCAUCUUUGAGGUUUUUCUCAAAGGGUCAAAGAAUGCUCAUGAAUAUUGUCUACUGCUAAAGGACAUUAUUUUAGCAUAGGUUCAUGUUAGAGACUUAUUUUUGUUGCUAACGUCACUAGUGAAUGAAUUCGAGGCUAUGAAAAUGUUUGGGAAUGUUUGGCAGCACUCUUAUGUGUUUCUUAUGUACUCUUAAGAGUUCGUAUUUUGAAUUGAUUAUGAUGGUGAUUUCAAUGAUUAGUUUUUUUUUAUAUA
Molecule: RNA transcript, 4151 nt
Organism: Prunus dulcis (almond)
Lineage: Eukaryota; Viridiplantae; Streptophyta; Magnoliopsida; Rosales; Rosaceae
Exons: 8
Source: RefSeq, a predicted model, not a curated record